Molecule: long non-coding RNA, 4936 nt
Filed under: Selaginella moellendorffii
Lineage: Eukaryota; Viridiplantae; Streptophyta; Lycopodiopsida; Selaginellales; Selaginellaceae
Description: long non-coding RNA (SMOE_LNC000805)
Source: RNAcentral
AGAAAGGCAAACGGGUGCUUGGAGGCGUUGGCCACACCGUCAGCGAAGCGCUGUGGAUUGAACUCGUUGGCAUCUUCGCCCCACACUUCCUUGUCGUGGAGGAUAGAGAGUAUCGGCACGAGAACGCCGGUUCCCUCUGGAACAAUCAAGUUUCCCAGCUUCGUGUCCUCCAUGGCCGUGCGGACCAAGAACACGGCCGGUGGAUACAGCCGCAGUGUCUCGUUGAGCACCAUUCCCACCUGGAAGGAAACGAGAACAGUGAGAACGAGAGGAGAAAAGCAAGAUUUUGCUCACGAUCUUCAGCUUGCUGGCUGGGAAGACUUGCAAACUUCCAGUACCUCUGCUCGAGCACGCUCUUGCCAAGUCGGGUUUGUGGCGAGCAGCAUCAUCGCCCAAGUUAUCAGCUUGGCUGUGGUUUACGUAAAGCAUCGUCGCCCACGUCACCAGUCAAACAGCGACUUGGCGCCCUCCACGUGGCCGCUGUCCGCGAACGCUGCCAGCGUGGCAUUCCAUGUCACCAGGUGGCGCUCCGGCAUUUUGUCAAACAGGUCCUCGAGGUCGCCGCCCUGCGACAUCGCCGCGAUCAGGGCCGUGCAGUUCACGAGGGGCAUCGCGCGGGAUAUCCGCGUCGUGGUCGCGUGGUCCCUGCCGCCGCGAUCACUGUCGCCGACGACCUCACGUCCCGCGUGGGCAUCCGACGAUAGAGAUCCGCUGCCGCGUCAAUCUGCGAUCAUCGUGGUCCACGACGUGAGGGUUUUCUCUGGAAUGGAUUCGAACACGUGACACGCCUCUGCUAGCACGGUGUUUUUCUGGGGUAUACGCUUUUGCUUGAUCUACUAAGUGGCCUUGUGUGUAUGCUCUGAUCAUCGCAGUGAAAGACACAACGUCCCACUCGGGCAUAGUAGCUUCGCUUGAUCGAAACCGCCACCCUCGGCAUAAGCAGAUAUCAUGCAGUUACGCGAGAUCAAAUCCCUCUCGGGCAUCUCGUCAAACAUCAGCCGAGCGCCACGCAAAUUCCCGGACUGGGCGCGCGCGCCCAUCACGGCAGUCAAAGCGAUUGGGUUCCAGGAGGGGAUUCGAUCCAGAAGCGCUUUCGCCUUCGUGGGUGUAUGCCGCGAGCAGAGCAUUCCAGGAUGCCAGAUCUCUCUCCGGCAUCUCGUGGAAGAUCUCCUCGGCCUUCGCGGCAUGCCCCGCCCGGGCAAAUGCCGCGACCAUCGCGUUCCAGGCGAUGGAAUCCCUCUCGGGCAUUUUCAAGAAGAGCUCCUUCGCAUCCUCGAUUCGCCCCCUCUCGGCAAGCGCGCACACCAUGGCUGUCCACGACACAAGAUUCUUGCAGGGCAUCGACACAAACACGGCCUGCGCGCCAUCGAGAUCCCCGUGCCGCGCAUCAUCUGCACCCACGAGAAGGCAUCCUUGCAGGGCAUGGCGUCGAAGAUCGCUCGCGCCUCGCGCACGCUCCCGCAGCGCCCAUACAUCUCGAUGAUCUUGUUGGGCACGAAGGUGUCAGUGGCGGCGGCCGUGGCGAGCUCCUGGAAUGCGGCAUGGAGCUCCCUGGCCCUGGAGAGAUCGUUGCAGCUCUGGAUCAAGCCCACGCACUGAGCUCGAUCGAGCAUAGGAUAGCAAGCGUGCUCUGAUCAUGACAAAGAAAACCACGUCUUCCGAGGCAUAGAAAGAAAGAAAUCCCUUGAUCCAAUUCGAUUCAAACAGAAUAUAAUUGUUUAGAAGAGAAUGGGAGAACACACUUUUGUCAUGGCCCCGUCACCGGAGGGGUCUUCGGUGGAGGCCUAUACCCCUCGACAUUUUGGAUAGGCAGGGUAAACCGGCUCUCCACCUUCUGGAUGACAAUUGAGAGUAGAAUCAAAAUCACAACUUGAAGAGCGUAUUGCCAAACCCGUUGCAUUGUUUUCGUGCAUGAUCUUUUCUCGUGUGCAUGAUCAAAACAUAUAUACCAAACAGCAGCUUGACUAAAAGUCUCGUUUUCUACAAAAUCGUGCUUCACUUUUGACUGUCAUUUCCAUAUCGAACGAGGUCAAACUGGAGAGCUUCCCCCUUGUGUGACAAUUUUCACGAUGCUCACAAUGCGAUCCUACGGCAAAGAACGAUUCAAAGAGAAUAAAAUGUUUAGGAGAUAAAAAGAACACAUAAAGUAUAAUUGUCAUGGGCUCAGGGGUUUUAUUCGAGGCCUAAAUUUGAAAUUAGACUCCUGGUCCUCUCCAUUAUGAAUGACAAAUGAAAAUGCUGUGAAAAUCACAACAAGAGCAUAUCGCCAAACGCAUACCAUUGUCUGCUUGCAUUAAUCUUUCUCGUAUGAUCAAACUCUAUAUAUACAAACAAGCACUCAACGUCUCGUGAUGUACAAAGUCGUGGUUCACUCCGACUUUAGACUUUUCAGUAAAAAAUUUCGUCUUGAUCGAAUGAGGUCAAACUGGAGUUCAUCCAGCAGCUUCCAUUCUCACGUUUUGAAAGAGCCCAUUCUCACAAUCAGAUUAGAAAUGGCUCUGAUGGAGAUUGUCUCUCCCGGAACAUCGCCAUUUGCCGGCAUUGCAAGGAGGGCCGGAUCCAAAUGGCUAAACAGCUCUUCGAUGCAAUGCCAGUCCAGAACCUGGUGGCAGCAACCGCGCUCCUGGAUGCAUAUGCCCGCGUGGGGCAUUUUGACUGCGCUCGGGGCAUCGUCAGUCAAAUGCCUGUGAUGGAUUCGGUAUCAUCCAUUACCAUCGUCACAGCGUACGCGAGAUCAGGCAAUUUCGAAGGAGCGGCAAUGGGUUUUGAAGAAACGCCACACAAGGAUAUUGUUUCCUGGAACUGUUUGCUUGCUGCGCAUGCCCUGGCAGGGCAUUUGAAGGACGCUCUUAAGAUUUUUUACGCGAUGCCGCUGUGGAAUCUAGUUUCCUGGACUUCAAUGCUUGUUUGUCAUGCACGAAACAAUAAGUUGGUAGAAGCUUGGAAUCUUUUCUGCUUGAUGCCUGAGAGGGACUUCAUUUGCUGGAGCUCCAUGCUUUCUGCUUAUACCAUCAAUGGGCAUAUUCUUGAAGCCGAGAACAUCUGUUUCCAGAUGCCUCUCACGAACUUGGUCUCGCGGACGGCUCUUCUUAGCAUGUACGCGCAGUACGGAAAGCUGGAGAAAGCAAAGAAAACGUUUGAUACUAUGCCCGAGCACAACAUUGUUUCGUGGACUUCGAUGCUCUCGGCAUAUUCCUAACACGGGCAUAUUGACUUGGCCAUUGGAAUCUUUCACGCGAUGCCAGAAUCCAACCUUUUCUCUUGUAACUUGUUACUGUCGGCAGUUUCUUCCAGUGGCGACGUGACGAUGACAAAACAAGUAUUCGACGACAUGCCCGAGUGGGACUUGGUAUCUUACAAUGCCCUUCUUGCGGCAUAUGCUCAAAACGGGCAUCUAAUAUGUGCUAUUGGGAUAUUCUCUACCAGGGAUCUCGCUUCUUUUACUUGUGUGCUUGCAGCAUACGCGGAUGCUGGGAAUCUAGAAGAAGCUAAGCGGAUCUUUACUAGAAUGCUGGUAUGGGAUGUUGUGGCGUGUGGUGCUAUGUUGUCCGCAUAUUCCAGUUCGUGGCAUCUGGAAGAUACUAAACGCCUGUUUAAAUCGAUGUUGCAAAGGAAUCUGGUUUCAUGGACUACAAUGAUGACAGCGUAUGCCCAGUAUGGGCAUAUUGAAGAAUCUAAAAGCAUGUUUGACAGUAUGCCGGAGAAGAAUCUGGUGGCAUGGAAUGCCAUGCUUGUAGCAUAUGCCCAGCUAGGGGACGCUGACAUGUCACGCCACCUUUUCCAGCAGAUGCCUCAACGGGAUGUCAUGUCUUGGAACUCCCUUCUCUUUGCGCAUGCCAACACAGGGAACGUUCCAUGCACUGAAAAGAUGCUUGCUCGCCUUCCAGAAGAGAACCUCACGUCUUGGGAAUGCCUGGAUAUCGGCGCUGUGCCACAACGGCUACUCGGCAAAGGCCUUGGAUGCGUUUAGCAGGCUCCGGCUAUGCCAUCUCCCCAAUGGGACGAGCUUCGUCACAAUGCUCAUAGCGUGGAAACACGAAGGGAAGUUACGUGCCGGGAGAUCUUUCUUCGUUUCCAUGUCAAUGGACUAUGGCUUGCAGUUCCAGAGGCAGCACUACUGCUGCAUGGUCGAUCUUCUGGCGAGGGGUGGCUACUUGGAGGACGCGGAGGACCUGAUCGCCAACAUGCCCUUUGUGCCCGAGCCCAGGGAGUGGCUAUGCCUCCUCGGAUCCUGCCGCUCGCACAGAGUGGUUGCCAACAUUUUACAAGUCCCAAGCAUAAAGUUACCAGUUGCGUCGUCAACUUUCUUACACUCCUCUUCGGCUAAGGAGGAGAGGCAUGCCAUGCUUUGGCGUUAGAGUAAGGCGCAGCACAGGGCUGUGCUGGUAACUUGGCGAUAUCUCGAAGCUAAACCUGUGGAGGAUCAUGGUCAGCGCAACCUUGGCCUCCAUGAGAGCGAAUCCUUGGCCGAGGCAAACCCGGGGCCCGUGAGAGAAGGGGAGAAAGGCAAACGGGUGCUUGGAGGCGUUGGCCACACCGUCAGCGAAGCGCUGUGGAUUGAACUCGUUGGCAUCUUCGCCCCACACUUCCUUGUCGUGGAGGAUAGAGAGUAUCGGCACGAGAACGCCGGUUCCCUCUGGAACAAUCAAGUUUCCCAGCUUCGUGUCCUCCAUGGCCGUGCGGACCAAGAACACGGCCGGUGGAUACAGCCGCAGCGUCUCGUUGAGCACCAUUCCCACCUGGAAGAGAACGAGAACAAUGAGAAACGAGAGGAGGAAAUCUAGAUCUUGCUCACGAUCUUUAGCUUGCUGGCUGCUUCUGAAUCCGGGACGCCAGACUUACAAACCUCCAGCACCUCAGCUCGAGCACGCUCUUGCCAAGUCGGGUUUGUGGCGAGCAGCAUCAUCGCCCAGGUUAUCAGCUUGGCUGUGGUUUC